GCCUUCGUGGUGUAAUGGUCAGCACACUGAGCUGGUAUUUCAGAGGUCCGCGGUUCGAUCCCCGGCGAAGGCA
This is a non-coding RNA of Stegodyphus mimosarum, 73 nucleotides long. The record is from Rfam. Lineage: Eukaryota; Metazoa; Arthropoda; Arachnida; Araneae; Eresidae.